UUUGCUUGCGGUUUCUUUAAAACUAGUUGUAGUUUAUUUAUUUCUUCAGUUUCCGAGUGUACGUUAUUUCAAGGUAAAUCCUACCCAUUAUUUUCCUCCGUGCUGCAGGUUAAGGUGAUAUUUUUACACUUUAUUCAGUUGCACAAUAAUCCUCAACUGUCCCUUUUAUUUACGGACCAUACUGGAAGAGUAACGUGAGAUAAAGUUAAGAUUCAUACCGUGUUUUGCUUGGCCAAGUUCACUGGUCUUAAAUGGAAUCAAGGACUUCCUAUUCAGUGCAGAUGACCCUUGUUUCCUACAGGACGAUGCCUUACCCAAGCUGCAUUAGCUUGUGCUGAAGUAUCAAGUGUCAUAGAGGCUAAUCACACAGACGAGAAGAAGAGGCUUCAAUCGGCAGUGACAUCGCAGAGGAUUCUGAGGAUUACUUGUGCUGGGUCCCUCUCCCCCUUUGGCACUGCACUGGAGAAUAGACAGAUUAAGGGGAUUAGCUUGUAUCCUCCUAACUUGUCAAGCUGGGAUGUAAGGAUCCAUUGACUUCGCUGUUCUGAAUGAGAGAAGUGGCUAAAAAAGAGAGAAAUGAAAGGCGGUGAACAAGAAAAAUUCCUGGAAGAACAAUGUGAUUUGUUUGCUUUUGUUCCUUUUAACUCGGCCGGUUCAAAGGGUCUCACCUAAGAAGCCGCGGUCCUGAGUCAGAGAGAGAUAUGUUGCAGGAAUAAAGCGAGUGAGAGCCCUCAGCUAUGGCUGUCAAAAUAACAUUUAGCACUGAACAAACAAGUUUACUUGAGAGAUUACGCUGAUUUUGCUGGGAUCAGUGCUUGUCAGCUUUCUGGAUGACACAGUGUUCUCAGGCUGUGUUUGAAAUAUGAACGACACAAACUUUACAGGGACAAACUGUAGUUCAGGAGGGCCUGUUCGGGUCCAGUGUUUUCACAACAUCCUGACUGAUAAGACGCCUCUGCUUUUUCUUUUCUUUUUCUUUUUUUGUUUGUUUUUAAAGGUGGUGUCGAUGUGUCCAGUCACUGUAUAUGUGUGAUAUGGAAUGUGGUGACUGAAAAUAAAAGUCAACUUUAAAAAAAAAAAAAAA
Molecule: non-coding RNA, 1084 nt
Organism: Danio rerio (zebrafish)
Lineage: Eukaryota; Metazoa; Chordata; Actinopteri; Cypriniformes; Danionidae
Source: RefSeq, a predicted model, not a curated record